This is a long non-coding RNA of Haliotis rubra (blacklip abalone), 520 nucleotides long. RefSeq lists it as uncharacterized. The transcript is spliced from 3 exons. NCBI's taxonomy places the organism in Eukaryota, Metazoa, Mollusca, Gastropoda, Lepetellida, Haliotidae. The record is from RefSeq and is a predicted model, not a curated record.
GUUAUUUAUCGCCAUGGUAGAAUUCCGUCUUGAGUGCAGUAAUCUAGACAUGAAGACAAUCAGGAGACUGUGUCAAGUAAUCUUGAAAUAUGGCUGGGAGAUUACCAUUACACAAGUCAUUUACAGAAUGACAGAAAUGCCGCUGUGAAGCAAAUCACUGACUGUUUACUCUUCUACUUUCAGAACAAACACAGUAACCACUUACAGAUUCAAGACCUGUACAUGAUCCAGUCUGGUGACUGAUGUCAUGAAGAUCAUCUCAAGCCGUCCAGGAUGCCCAAAGGAUGCAACUCUGCACAGACUAGCUAUGAUUCCAGUGACGGCACCAGCCCUGACCCUUUAAAUGAUCUGAGGAGGAUCAAUGCAGGAGUCAAUGAUUACUGCAAAUCAUGCUAAUCACAAAGACACGAAGUCUCAGAUCAACAGUAAGUAGAUCUUGACCUACACUGGAAAAGGGCAUUAGGAUGUGGAGUGUAUCCCCUUGUGAGAUGGAUUAUUUUAAUACAAUCAAAAUUAGUUA